This 77-nucleotide transfer RNA is filed under the name Dehalococcoidia bacterium. Its description in RNAcentral is "tRNA-His". It matches the Rfam family "tRNA". Rfam says of the family: Transfer RNA (tRNA) molecules are approximately 80 nucleotides in length. Their secondary structure includes four short double-helical elements and three loops (D, anti-codon, and T loops). The record is from RNAcentral. Lineage: Bacteria; Bacillati; Chloroflexota; Dehalococcoidia.
GUGAGUGUAGCCCAGAGGUCUAAGGCGUCAGGUUGUGGCCCUGAAUAUCGAGGGUUCAAAUCCCUCCACUCACCCCA